UGCCAUAGAUCCCGAGGCUCCCAACGAGAUACUGAAUGUAUUGGUUUUAGUUCUCUGUAGCCUGAUUCUGGGACAAGAACCCUCUUACACCCAGCUCAUUAAUCAGGAUCAACAGGCAAUCAAUACAAUUAUUAUUAACCCUUAAAAAGGAUCAGGCAACAUACAUUUUGGAAACAACAAAGUUUUAUGCAUGUACAGAAAAGCCUCUCUCUGUAGAAGAUUUCCCCAGGCUAACUCUGAAGCGGGUGUGGCAGAGCUUAAAAACUAAAACACAGUUUGUAGGGGGGAAAUACCCAUAGAAAGGCCUUCAUGAAAUCUCAUCUAAAUGCAUGGAUAGGGGUUUAUGGUGCCCCUUCAGUUGUAAAAUUGUUUUCAUUAAGUCUUUUUUCUAAAGUAUGCAAAACCUUUGAUCAUUGGAGCUAUAAGAUUAAAAUUAGUGUACUGUUUUUAAUGACAAAAGAAAAAUUUCAUAAUCAGGGUGGAGUGAAAGCAUACAGACUAUAAAGGCUGUCCCAACCCCACAAUUCUCACUCCUGCUGAAUUCUGUUAGUUGUUCUGGGUUUCGUGAGUCAGUUAUUCUUCAAGAAUAUAAACAGAAAUAUGGAAAAUUUACUUGAUAGUAACCUUUUAAAAUAUUUCACCCAAUAUGCGUUGAUGGAGGGUAGUACCAGCGCGCUGUCCAUUGAUGGACUGAAAAACCUGCUUCAAAAUCAAUUUGCACAAUAUCUGCAGGGUGCAUUCUCUCUCGAUAACAUAAUUAAAUCGUUGGACAAAAAUAAUGAUGGGAAAGUCAGCUUUGAAGAAUUUGUGUCCAUUAUAAAACGUGUAACUGGCACAGGCCAGUAAGACAAAAGGA
This is a long non-coding RNA of Chelonia mydas (Green sea turtle), 856 nucleotides long. RefSeq lists it as uncharacterized. The record is from RefSeq and is a predicted model, not a curated record. Lineage: Eukaryota; Metazoa; Chordata; Testudines; Cheloniidae. The transcript has 3 exons.